Molecule: long non-coding RNA, 433 nt
Filed under: Fukomys damarensis (Damara mole-rat)
Lineage: Eukaryota; Metazoa; Chordata; Mammalia; Rodentia; Bathyergidae
Description: lncRNA (ENSFDAG00000025870.1)
Source: RNAcentral
AUCUGAAAAAAAGAAAGAUUGGUUCAAACCAAUGUCAUUGAACUACUGCUUCAUUUUUCUCCUUUCACAACCAAGCAUGUGAAGUCUACAUAGAACAUAAACCAUGAUAAAGGGAAGACCUCAUUCUGACUUGAACUUCAUAUUUAGCCAUUUAACCUGAGGCUCAUGACUUGCAGUUUAUUGUUGCUGCAAAUUAAAAUCCACAGGGAGCAGACAUGCAUGGUGGUUUUAUUUUCCAAUGAAUGCACCUGGAUGUUCUUGAAGGACAAAUGUCCAAAUAUCCUGAGGCCCUCUGGAGGAUGCUAUAAUGUCAAGGAACUCACUUACAACUAAGCCAUGGAGUCUUCCAAGCAGUGAACUAAAGGGAAGCAUGUAAAUCAAUCUAGAAAGCAAGUUCAAAAGUUUUGAUGUUUGAAUCAGCACCAUAUUAUUU